This 406-nucleotide ribosomal RNA is filed under the name uncultured Methanocorpusculum sp. Its description in RNAcentral is "partial 16S ribosomal RNA". Lineage: Archaea; Methanobacteriati; Methanobacteriota; Methanomicrobia; Methanomicrobiales; Methanocorpusculaceae. The record is from RNAcentral.
GGACUACCGGGGUAUCUAAUCCCGUUUGCUCCCCCAGCUUUCGUCCCUCACUGUCGAAGCUGUUCUGGUAAACUGCCUUCGCCAUAGGUCGUCCCUCGAGGAUUACAAGAUUUCACUCCUACCCCCGAAGUACGGUUUACCUCUCCCAGUUCCAAGACUGCCGGUAUCUCUUAGACGCCUUCACGUUGAGCGUGAAGAUUUCCCAAGAGACCUAACAGUCAAGCUACGGACGCUUUAAACCCAGUAAUAGUGGCCAUCACUCGAGCGGCGGCUGGCACCGGUCUUGCCCUGCCCUUUCUUCACAUAUGAUUUAGAUAUAUGAACAGCCUGCAUCGACAGGCACUCAGGGUUUCCUUAUCACGAUUGCUCGCAUUGUAAAGUUUGCGCGCCUGCUGCCCCCCGUAGG